This 439-nucleotide small RNA is filed under the name Pongo abelii (Sumatran orangutan). RNAcentral describes it as "processed transcript". The record is from RNAcentral. Lineage: Eukaryota; Metazoa; Chordata; Mammalia; Primates; Hominidae.
AGAGUAUCUUACCUCUACCGCCUGCCGCCGAAACCUAGCGGGUGAUGUCUGUGCCAUCAUGAGGGUCCAUGCCUUCCUAGAACAGUGGGGUCUUAUUAACUACCAGGUGGAUGCUGAGAGUCGACCAACCCCAAUGGGGCCUCCGCCUACCUCUCACUUCCAUGUCUUGGCUGACACACCAUCAGGGCUGGUGCCUCUGCAGCCCAAGACACCUCAGCAGACCUCUGCUUCCCAACAAAUGCUCAACUUUCCUGACAAAGGCAAAGAGAAACCAACAGACAUGCAAAACUUUGGGCUGCGCACAGACAUGUACACAAAAAAGAAUGUUCCCUCCAAGAGCAAAGCUGCAGCCAGUGCCACUCGUGAGUGGACAGAACAGGAAACCCUGCUUCUCCUGGAGAGGAGUUCUCCAAAAUGAAGGAAGAGGUACCCACGGCCU